GCCGCUAUAGCUCAGUGGCUGGAGCGUUGGUCUCGUAAACCAAAGGUCACGAGUUCGAAUCUCGUUGGCGGCA
Molecule: transfer RNA, 73 nt
Filed under: Trichonephila clavata
Lineage: Eukaryota; Metazoa; Arthropoda; Arachnida; Araneae; Nephilidae
Rfam family: tRNA
About the family: Transfer RNA (tRNA) molecules are approximately 80 nucleotides in length. Their secondary structure includes four short double-helical elements and three loops (D, anti-codon, and T loops).
Source: Rfam by way of RNAcentral